ACCAUGCAGUCGACGGCAGCACAGGAGAGCUUGCUCUCUGGGUGGCGAGUGGUGGACGGGUGAGGAAUACAUCGGAAUCUACUUUUUCGUGGGGGAUAACGUAGGGAAACUUACGCUAAUACCGCAUACGACCUACGGGUGAAAGCAGGGGAUCUUCGGACCUUGCGCGAUUGAAUGAGCCGAUGUCGGAUUAGCUAGUUGGCGGGGUAAAGGCCCACCAAGGCGACGAUCCGUAGCUGGUCUGAGAGGAUGAUCAGCCACACUGGAACUGAGACACGGUCCAGACUCCUACGGGAGGCAGCAGUGGGGAAUAUUUGGACAAUGGGCGAAAGCCUGAUCCAGCCAUGCCGCGUGUGUGAGUAAAGAAUGUCUUCGGAUUGUAAAGCACUUUAAGUUGGGGAGGAAGGGCUGUAGGCUAAUAUCCUGCGGUUUUGACGUUACCAACAGAAUAAGCACCGGCUAACUUCGUGCCAGCAGCCGCGGUAAUACGAAGGGUGCAAGCGUUAAUCGGAAUUACUGGGCGUAAAGCGCGCGUAGGUGGUCGUUAAGUGGAUGUGAAAGCCCCGGGCUCAACCUGGAACUGCAUCCAAACUGGCGAGCUAGAGUACGGUAGAGGGUAGUGGAAUCUGGUGAGCAGUGAAUGCGUAGGAUCCA
RNAcentral lists this ribosomal RNA (654 nucleotides) under uncultured bacterium. RNAcentral describes it as "bacterial SSU rRNA". It matches the Rfam family "Bacterial small subunit ribosomal RNA", at positions 53 to 701 of the family's 1533-position model. The record is from RNAcentral.